ACAACGUGGAACUUUGCGGGAAAAAAAAAGGAAUGAAUACAGAGUACACAAUUUUCGUUAUUUAUUUUGUUAAAUAAAAUUUUCUUCUACAGAUGCAGGCUGUCUCCGACAUUUUUGAAAGAGAGGCGAGUACACAAAGCAUUGUUGACUACAUUUUACACGUUUCUUUAAAUGGCAUGCGAUAUGGACAAAAUUUUCCAGAUUCUUCCUCUUGUCAAAGCAGGCUUACCCCUUAUCUAUCAACACAGGUGAGAUGUCCUGUAGAUCUUUUGGACUUAUACCGGUCCAGCUCACUCUUGGAAUGUCAGCCAUGAUCAUGGGUGCCAUGUGACUAUUCAUGUGCACCUAAUUUCAUAAGAGGAUUUUCCAGUAAGAAUAAAUAUAGAACACCUCAAAAGGUAACCACUCAACUGUUUCUCAUGCCAAUUGGUCUGCUGCUGACGAAAAACGAUUUAAAUAAUUUUCAUAGACACAAGAUUUCCUGGUUGCUGAACAGUCUAUUUUAAAAUCCUGACUCAGAUGAUUAAAGGUUUAAGGAUUGACCAAAAGCCUUGAACAUUAUUAUAUCUACAUUAAUAGCAGAUCAUAUCUUAGACUUAUCCACCUGUCUUGCCAAUGAGCUGCUGCUGUGCUUGUAAUGUUAUUGUUUUUGAAAGAUGAAUCAAUUUCAAAUUAGAUUCAAUAAAUUUAAUUUUCUAAUUCAUUUAUUAUUGAAUUCUCGGUGGAAUUGUAAAUCAUCACAUGUAAAGUAUCCACUCAAGAACUGAUUUACGAAACUGUGUGCGGUGAACGUUUGUCCAAAAUCGCAUAAUAACAUUGUCUGCUGUAUAUUUUGCGUGAAAUUAAUUUUCUUCAUGGAAAUAUUCCUUGCCUUUAAUACCUUCUAUUAACUUGAUUUGUUUGUAAUAUUUAUUGCUUUCCACCAAAUAUUCAUUUAGAAAAUUAGUACAUAGGAUCUGGGAUUUGCAUAUAAUAGAGAAGAAUUAAAAGGCUACUUAAAUUACUGUACAAUGCAAGAAAGAGUUGCAUAUCAGUUUCCAUGCAUUUAAGUAUUGUAAUAGGGAGUUAUGAUUGCUUUGAUGAUCGUUUGAUGGAAUUACUUGCAAAUGUAGAUUCAAUCCACACCCUAGAUUUCUGAUUACAACCAGAAUCUAAAUUCUCUACGUUUACAAAUGACUAUAUGACGUCAUCGCGUCGUAGAUCUUGCUGUUGCUGCACAAUAGAAAAGUCUAUAGUGAAGCACUGUUAUGAAAAAAACGAAAUAAUGGUUUAGAGUGUCAAAGAUUCAAAAUGAUCAGCGCUUAACUUAGAUCGUUAAAAGUCCCAAAUGAUCAUCUUCCCAACUUAAGCUUCAUGAACUUAGCUAUCAGUGGUCCCAAAUGGUCAGCUUUUAGGAUAGAUUAGUUUGUAUUUAUUACUAAUUAUGGAAGUUCAAGCAUGUAGAGCUUUGGGGUUUCUUGUGAGAGGCUGUAGGUUCAUGAAUGAGAGCAGCUUAGCUCAGUUGACUAAAUUGGUGGGGGGCACUAUAUGUGCGCUGAACUGUAGAGAUGGAGAACUGGUGAAUUAUUUGGAAUGAAAUUGGAAGUGAUAAAUUACAGUACAUGCAUACAUAGAGCUAGGAGUACUUCCCAGGAAGUGGGGGAGGCUGAACCUGAAUGAACAUUGUGUAUGAUUCAAUCUAUACCCAGUGACCAGGGCAAAAAGACAUACAUACAUAAAAAGAAAAGGGACUAUAAAACAAAGGAUUAAGAUAUAUGAAGUAAAAAUGUUUAUUACAUUCAUGAAAGAUUACUAUAGUAAUAUUUUUAUAAGCUUCCUUAGUCAUUUCGCUCUGUCCCAUGAAUUGUGUCUAGUACAAGAAGGUUAUAAUUUUUUGUUUGGUUUACCCUGGAGAGUGAUAUGUCAACACUAAAGUCAGUCCUGGAUAAGUGUAUCCAUAUUUAUU
This 1945-nucleotide long non-coding RNA is filed under the name Anneissia japonica. RNAcentral describes it as "uncharacterized LOC117108962, transcript variant X2". Lineage: Eukaryota; Metazoa; Echinodermata; Crinoidea; Comatulida; Comatulidae. The record is from RNAcentral.